UACCCAGUGGCGGACGGGUGAGUAACACGUGGGAAUCUGCCUUUAGAUGGGGGAUAGCAGGCCGAAAGGCCUAUUAAUACCGCAUAUGCCGCAAGGUAAAAGGAGCAAUCCGUCUGAAGAUGAGCCCGCGCCCGAUUAGCUAGUUGGUAAGGUAAAAGCUUACCAAGGCAACGAUCGGUAGCUGGUCUGAGAGGGCACACGGCCACACUGGCACUGAAACACGGGCCAG
RNAcentral lists this ribosomal RNA (229 nucleotides) under uncultured bacterium. RNAcentral's name for it is "partial 16S ribosomal RNA". It matches the Rfam family "Bacterial small subunit ribosomal RNA", at positions 89 to 334 of the family's 1533-position model. The record is from RNAcentral.